AACGGCCAUACCAUGCUGAAUAUACCGGUUUUCGUUAGUCACCGAAGUCAAGUAUCAUUGGGCGCGGUCAGUACCUGUGGGGCGGGUGACCACCGGGAACACCGCGUGC
This is a non-coding RNA of Caerostris extrusa, 109 nucleotides long. The record is from the annotation of a GenBank genome assembly. Lineage: Eukaryota; Metazoa; Arthropoda; Arachnida; Araneae; Araneidae.